This 305-nucleotide ribosomal RNA is filed under the name uncultured bacterium. RNAcentral's name for it is "bacterial SSU rRNA". It matches the Rfam family "Bacterial small subunit ribosomal RNA", at positions 335 to 637 of the family's 1533-position model. The record is from RNAcentral.
GCUCCUACGGGACGCAGCAGUGAGGAAUAUUGGUCAAUGGCCGGGAGGCUGAACCAGCCAAGUCGCGUGAGGGAAGACGGCCCUACGGGUUGUAAACCUCUUUUGUCAGGGAGCAAGGGGCGGGUCGAGACCUGCUGUGAGAGUACCUGAAGAAAAAGCAUCGGCUAACUCCGUGCCAGCAGCCGCGGUAAUACGGAGGAUGCGAGCGUUAUCCGGAUUUAUUGGGUUUAAAGGGUGCGCAGGCGGAGGCACAAGUCAGCGGUAAAAGCCCGGGGCUCAACCCCGGCGAGCCGUUGAAACUGGCG